GACGAACGCUGGCGGCGUGCUUAACACAUGCAAGUCGAACGGAAAGGCCCUGCUUUUGUGGGGUGCUCGAGUGGCGAACGGGUGAGUAACACGUGAGUAACCUGCCCUUGAAUUUGGGAUAACUUCAGGAAACUGGGGCUAAUACCGGAUAGGAGCUCCUGCUGCAUGGUGGGGGUUGGAAAGUUUCGGCGGUGGGGGAUGGACUCGCGGCUUAUCAGCUUGUUGGUGGGGUAGUGGCUUACCAAGGCUUUGACGGGUAGCCGGCCUGAGAGGGUGACCGGCCACAUUGGGACUGAGAUACGGCCCAGACUCCUACGGGAGGCAGCAGUGGGGAAUAUUGCACAAUGGGCGGAAGCCUGAUGCAGCAACGCCGCGUGCGGGAUGACGGCCUUCGGGUUGUAAACCGCUUUCGCCUGUGACGAAGCGUGAGUGACGGUAAUGGGUAAAGAAGCACCGGCUAACUACGUG
Molecule: ribosomal RNA, 468 nt
Filed under: uncultured bacterium
Lineage: Bacteria
Description: partial 16S ribosomal RNA
Rfam family: Bacterial small subunit ribosomal RNA
Source: RNAcentral